Molecule: ribosomal RNA, 616 nt
Filed under: uncultured phototrophic eukaryote
Lineage: Eukaryota
Description: bacterial SSU rRNA
Rfam family: Bacterial small subunit ribosomal RNA
Source: RNAcentral
UUGGAAACGAUUGCUAAUACCCCAUAUGCUUGAGAGUGAAACGGAUUUAUCCGCCUAGAGAAAAGCUCGCGGCUGAUUAGCUAGUUGGUAAGGUAAUGGCUUACCAAGGCGACGAUCAGUAUCUGGUUUGAGAGGACGAUCAGACACACUGGAACUGAGACACGGUCCAGACUCCUACGGGAGGCAGCAGUGGGGAAUUUUCCGCAAUGGGCGAAAGCCUGACGGAGCAAUACCGCGUGAGGGAAGACGGCCUAUGGGUUGUAAACCUCUUUUUUCAGGGAGGAAUCAAUGACGUGUACCUGAAGAAUAAGCAUCGGCUAACUCCGUGCCAGCAGCCGCGGUAAGACGGAGGAUGCAAGUGUUAUCCGGAAUCACUGGGCGUAAAGCGUCUGUAGGUGGUUUAAUAAGUCAACUGUUAAAUCUUGGGGCUCAACCUCAAAAUCGCAGUCGAAACUAUUAGACUAGAGUAUAGUAGGGGUAAAGGGAAUUUCCAGUGGAGCGGUGAAAUGCGUAGAGAUUGGAAAGAACACCGAUGGCGAAGGCACUUUACUGGGCUAUAACUGACACUCAGAGACGAAAGCUAGGGUAGCAAAUGGGAUUAGAUACCCCAGUAGUC